CCCACGCCGCACGGGCGUCGCGUGCGUGAGGGGCGCGGGCCGGAGCGACCGGCGCGAGCGCCACCAGCGCGGCUCCGAACCGUCGCUUGGAGAGCCCGUCGCUCCCCCGGGGCUCACGUCGCCCAGAGAGAGGCCGCGGCUGGCGCGGGAGCUGGAGCAGGAUAGCCGUUGCUCAUCAAUAGGGGAAUGUGUUCUGAUUUAUGUUGGUCCUUGUUAUGUUUGCAUGGAUCAGGACUGACGUGAAUUGGAACACAUUCCCCUAUUGUACAGUACAGUACAGUACUUGCAUCCGCCAGCCACGUUCAAGGCUUAUUAUCUAUGGAGGACAUUCUCCAUUCUGAUUAAGGAGACAGCAGGUGAAGGAAAGCCCAGUGUAAAGGAGUUUUGGAAGUCCUACAACACCUGAAUGGUGUGGAAAACAUUGAUGCGUCGUGGGAAGAGGUCACCUCGCAAAGUAUGAACGGCGUUUGGUGCCAUGCAUGGCCAGAUGCUGUCCACAGCUUCGUGGGAUUUGAUGCUGUUCCUGGUCUCGAGCAAGCAAUUGUCAAGUUGGCAAAGGAUGUCAGCUUCAAGAAGGUGGAGGAGGAGGAUGUACAGGAGUUGCUGGAGUCUCAGGCUGAGCAACUGACAAAUGAACUGAUUGAGCUGGACCAACAAUGGAUAUCUGAAGAAAGCAAGGAUGAUGACGACAAUGACGAUGACGUAGGGCAGGAAGCCAGGAGUCUGAUGACAAAGAAUCUCUCCCAUUUCUGUGGAUUGCUAGAUGAGAUGACGGAAAUCAUACAGAGCAGUGAUCCUUCUUGUGAAUAGUCUGACAAAGUCUCCAGGGUUUUCAAUGAUGCAGUGGCUUGCUACAGGGAGAUCUAUCGUUCAAGGAUUCAUGCAGGAGAGCAGCUGUCGAUAAAAUCCUUUUUUAAGACUUCUGCAACCAAAAAGCAACCCAAGAAAAUCCAGCCGUCACCUCUUCCUAAGUUUAGCGUAAUCAACACUGUUUUAUACUGUAUUACUAUACUGUAUUUACUGUAUUAAAAUGUUCUAUGUGUUUGGUGUUA
Long non-coding RNA from Chelonia mydas (Green sea turtle), 1052 nucleotides. RefSeq lists it as uncharacterized. The transcript has 2 exons. The record is from RefSeq and is a predicted model, not a curated record. Lineage: Eukaryota; Metazoa; Chordata; Testudines; Cheloniidae.